GCCUCGGUAGCUCAGCCGGCAUAGCGCGUGCCUUUUAAGCCCGUGGCCGCGGGUUCGAGCCCCGCCCGAGGUG
RNAcentral lists this transfer RNA (73 nucleotides) under Perkinsus marinus ATCC 50983. It matches the Rfam family "tRNA". Rfam says of the family: Transfer RNA (tRNA) molecules are approximately 80 nucleotides in length. The record is from Rfam by way of RNAcentral. Lineage: Eukaryota; Perkinsozoa; Perkinsida; Perkinsidae.